CACAGUGACAAGUCGAGCGGAAACGAUGAUAGCUUGCUAUCAGGCGUCGAGCGGCGGACGGGUGAGUAAUACUUAGGAAUCUACCUAGUAGUGGGGGAUAGCACGGGGAAACUCGUAUUAAUACCGCAUACGACCUACGGGAGAAAGGGGGCAGUUUACUGCUCUCGCUAUUAGAUGAGCCUAAGUCGGAUUAGCUAGAUGGUGGGGUAAAGGCCUACCAUGGCGACGAUCUGUAGCUGGUCUGAGAGGAUGAUCAGCCACACCGGGACUGAGACACGGCCCGGACUCCUACGGGAGGCAGCAGUGGGGAAUAUUGGACAAUGGGGGAAACCCUGAUCCAGCCAUGCCGCGUGUGUGAAGAAGGCCUUUUGGUUGUAAAGCACUUUAAGCAGUGAAGAAGACUCCAUGGUUAAUACCCGUGGACGAUGACAUUAGCUGCAGAAUAAGCACCGGCUAACUCUGUGCCAGCAGCCGCGGUAAUACAGAGGGUGCAAGCGUUAAUCGGAAUUACUGGGCGUAAAGGGAGCGUAGGUGGCUCGAUAAGUCAGAUGUGAAAUCCCCGGGCUCAACCUGGGAACUGCAUCUGAUACUGUUGAGCUAGAGUAUGUGAGAGGAAGGUAGAAUUCCAGGUGUAGCGGUGAAAUGCGUAGAGAUCUGGAGGAAUACCGAUGGCGAAGGCAGCCUUCUGGCAUAAUACUGACACUGAGGCUCGAAAGCGUGGGUAGCAAACAGGAUUAGAUACCCUGGUAGUCCACGCCGUAAACGAUGUCUACUAGUCGUUGGGUCCCUUGAGGACUUAGUGACGCAGCUAACGCAAUAAGUAGACCGCCUGGGGAGUACGGCCGCAAGGUUAAAACUCAAGAAAUUGACGGGA
Molecule: ribosomal RNA, 874 nt
Filed under: bacterium SBF-B6-d0
Lineage: Bacteria
Description: bacterial SSU rRNA
Rfam family: Bacterial small subunit ribosomal RNA
Source: RNAcentral